Magnolia sinica is the source of this 862-nucleotide long non-coding RNA. RefSeq lists it as uncharacterized. The transcript has 2 exons. The record is from RefSeq and is a predicted model, not a curated record. NCBI's taxonomy places the organism in Eukaryota, Viridiplantae, Streptophyta, Magnoliopsida, Magnoliales, Magnoliaceae.
UAGCAUAAAAAUCUCGAUAACAAUUUCCUCAACAUAUUUACUUUUUUAUUUUUCUCUUAUAAAAUGUGAUAUUUUUAAAUCUACCCAUAAUACUAAGUGAAUAUCGUUUAGUGUGUUUUGCAAGACUACUGUAAGAUUUUUAAAAUAUAUCACAUUGCGUUCAAGACAAGGAAGAAUAAAGUGCUCUAAAAAGAUGUAAAACUAAGGCGAUUCUAAAGCUUCAUGGGAGAGAUUAAAGCCUCCGUAGAUGUGGCAAUCAGGUAGGGAAACUUCAAAGCUUCUCUGAGAGAUAUUGAAGCUCUCAAAGAUGCAAAAAUCAGCCAAAUGGGGAAUGCGAUGCUUGAUAAUCUCAAAUAUGGCCUUCUUCACAACUGUAAACUAUUACAGUAUUCACUUUGGGAUAUGCUUAACUAAUUGGUGGGAUGCACACACCGUAAGGGGGCAGCGGCAGGUAGGAGACCCGGCAAUAGAGGGAGAUUAAAACCAUUGAAGAGGAUGAUAGCAAGACCAGGAGAGCUACGAGAGUGAGGAGAGAGAUCAAGACUACUGAGGAAGGAUUAUAGGAUCAAGACCAUUUAGGAAGAGCAACUAUUGGAGAGAAUGAGAGAUCAAGAUCACUGAAGAGUGUGGGAGCAAUGGUGAGCAGUGCAACCUAGAGUGUUUAGGCCUUGUUAGUAUAAGGGUUACCAAGUAGAAAAAUAGAUGGCAUGUAUUUAGAUUUGUAUAUGUUGUAACAAAACUAAGUGCUAAAGUGCAGAAUAAUCUUUCUUUUAUGUUUAUUGAUCAUUGUAAUUACUUACUAUGUCAUGUAAUUCUUAGAGUUGAAUGAUUGUUAAUACCAAGUUGGUAUUGUUUGCUUUGA